CUCAAAUUUGUAUUUCUUUAUUCCCAUUGUGGUGAAUAUAGAGGAGAAGGAAAAAAAAAAGAUCUUGGAAAACAUUUGUAGUUGUGACGUAGAACACACAUCCUACAGUCUCCCUGCUCUGCUCCAUUCUGAUGCAUCCACUUCCACACAAAUAGAUCCCUGAACGUCUUUGUUUGCCUCGUCUGAGCUGGAAUCUGGAUCAAAACUGUACUUGUCAUGGUGCUUCACCUGCUCCUUCAACUGAACCCAGCUGUUGGACAUCAUCUCAUCACCAGUUCACUACUUAAGGAGGGCCUGCUCCAGUAUUCAUCGUUACCUCAACCGGUGCAGAAGCCUGGCCUCUAUAGUAUAUGUCUUCGUACUAAGCUGCAAAUUCUUCGCUUUAGCUCACCGGAGACAUCCCCUCCAUCUCCGUCCCUACCAAGUAUUUUUUAUGAUUCCUGCUUCCUCAGAUUCCUACUGCGGGAUGUUCUUCCUCCUGACACACAGAGCUAGUAUGGUGUCCUCCGUUUAGUUCACUUUCACACUGAAGUGAACUGCAUCAGAGUUCAUCUGCAAGAGAACAGAAACCCUCGUUCUCUGAAGAACCAGAGCUCAGGUGAAAGUUCACACCUGCAAAAUCCAGAGGACCAGAGGAAACCAGAUCUGGAUUAGACCAGAACUAGAUCUUCCAGAGGAAUGCAGCAUCGGUCAAACCCGAGCAGCUCAGAGCAUCGAAAGACACAAACAUUUAGAAAAUGAGCCGCUUCCUGUCAGGGCCAACGAGGUCGCCACAGCAACAGCCAGUGUUAUGACAUCAGUGAGACACAGAAUGAAGAGGAUUUCUCCUGCGCUCCUCCACCUUGUUCUCCACCAGUAAUGAUGUCAUGUCAUGGUCUGGACCCUGAACCACCAUCACCAUCUACUCUGAGGUUUAUUCUCUGUACUUUGGAUUUAUCCCAAAAAUUCACGAUGUCAUCAACUCAGAGCCUAACCAUCAAAGGUUAUGGAUUUAUUGAAUCUUUCUACAUCAAAACUGAGCUAAAUGUUGGCAUUAGGAAGAUCUGUCCUUACUGAAGCAUUCAUUUAAUAAAGUGUUCCUAAUGCAA
Oryzias melastigma (Indian medaka) is the source of this 1088-nucleotide long non-coding RNA. RefSeq lists it as uncharacterized. Lineage: Eukaryota; Metazoa; Chordata; Actinopteri; Beloniformes; Adrianichthyidae. The transcript is spliced from 3 exons. The record is from RefSeq and is a predicted model, not a curated record.